AUGGCGGCGACUACGGUGAAGAUCGGAAAUGGUGCAACCGCAGCCUUCUGGCACUCCUCCUGGGCAGGGCCGGCCGCCCUUGCCCAACAAUUCCCUCUGCUGUUCACGCAUUCGAGGAGGAAGAACAGAACCGUCACGCAAGCACUGAACACUGACACUUGGAUAAAGGACCUGGCGCACGGCUGCGCCCAGGAGCUGCUUCCAGACUUCCGGAACAUGCAUAGAGCCAUCAGGGGAGCGACAGAAGGGCUGCAGGCGGAGGUGGCGGAUGAGAUCAAAUGGAAAUGGGAAAGCUCAGGAAACUACUCUUUAAAAUCAGCCUAUGCGAUGCAGUUUGUGGGGAGAGCUGCCACAACUUUUGAUCAAGAUAUCUGGAGGGUUUGGGUGCCGGGGAAGAUCAAGAUGUUUGCUUGGCUGAUGUUCCAGAAUAGACUAUGGUGCAACAACAGAUUGCAACGACGGGGCUGGGCCAAUGAUUAUUUCUGUCAGAUGUGCGUCCGGAACCUCGAGUCUGCUCAUCACCUCUUCUGGGAGUGCACGAAGACACAUGAGGUAUGGACGGAGAUAGGACGAUGGCAGGGCUGCUCUUCCUUCGCGCCCACGGACGACUGGCACAACGCCUCCUCCACGGCGGUUGCUCACCACAUCUACGAGGGCGUCGAGUCAAAGUGGAAGAAGGGCGCCAGAACUCUGCUGCUGUUGGCGUGCUGGGAGAUCUGGCAGGAACGGAACCACUGCACUUUCAGAAAGAAGCUCCCAUCCACUCGACAUAUUAUACAAAGGAUCACCAACUCAAUUGAGCUUUGGAGGAUAGCAGGCGCAAGAUGCCUCGAGAGCCUGUUCGGGGAGCCACCGUGA
This 858-nucleotide ribosomal RNA is filed under the name Triticum aestivum (bread wheat). Its description in RNAcentral is "partial small subunit ribosomal RNA". The record is from RNAcentral. Lineage: Eukaryota; Viridiplantae; Streptophyta; Magnoliopsida; Poales; Poaceae.